RNAcentral lists this ribosomal RNA (379 nucleotides) under uncultured bacterium. RNAcentral describes it as "partial 16S ribosomal RNA". It matches the Rfam family "Bacterial small subunit ribosomal RNA", at positions 338 to 734 of the family's 1533-position model. The record is from RNAcentral.
CCUACGGGAGGCAGCAGUAGGGGAUAUUGCACAAUGGGGGAAACCCUGAAGCAGCAACGCCGCGUGGGGGAUGGAGGGUUUAGGAGUGUAAACUCCUUUUGGUAGAGAAGAAUGUGACGGGAUCUAACGAAUAAGCACCGGCUAAAGCAGGGCCAGCAACCGGGGGAAAACGGAGGGGGGAAGCGGUAAUCGGAAUCACUGGGCGGAAAGGGGGGGGAGGCGGGGUCAGAAGUCAGAUGUGAAAUCCUGUAGCGCAACUACAGAACUGCAUUUGGAACUGUGACUCUGGAGUGGGGGAGAGGUAGGUGGAAUUCUUGGUGUAGGGGUAAAAUCCGUAGAGAGCAAGAGGAAUACUGGUGGCGAAGGCGGCCUGCUGGAA